UAAGAGGAGUACUACUCUUCCCUGUUUGGGUAAAUCUUGCAAGGACUGCAUACCGAUAAACCAAUAGAUAGAUCCUACCCGGAAGAAGGAUGGGAUUAAAACCAAUUCUCAUUUGUGAAUCAAGAAGCAAGCCAAGAUGACUGAAAGAAUUGUUUACCACAGAAAUCUUUUUACUUAGUCAAACCACACUUAUCUUGAAACUGGAUUCUGUUCCUGUUACCCCACUGAAAUUGCUCUAGAAAAACCCAGUAACUUCCAAAAUGGCCUACCACUUUCAACUUACAUUACACCAUUUGGCAAGUAGAUAAAGUACAAGAGAAUGACCCAAUUGACUGUUAACUACUACAGAAUAAAAAUGAAGUUCCUGCUAUGAUACGUGUGCUGGGGAUAGAUUUCAGCCUUG
Lontra canadensis (Northern American river otter) is the source of this 403-nucleotide long non-coding RNA. RefSeq lists it as uncharacterized. The record is from RefSeq and is a predicted model, not a curated record. Lineage: Eukaryota; Metazoa; Chordata; Mammalia; Carnivora; Mustelidae. The transcript has 3 exons.